GCUCUUGUACUCUUAUAAAUAUAGACCCCUUUAAACUCAAAGGUUUUGGCCGUUAGAUCUACUUCUUUGAUCAUUUAAACCUGUUAGAUCAUACUAUUCAACCAACUAUCCACUCAAUACUAAGGAACCACCAUGAUUCUAACUCUGGACUACUAUCAUUUUAACCCCACAUCUCUUCAUUCAACGACCGAAAAUUUAUGAGUACAAAGGUGCCUACACUCAUUAGAGUAUAGUAAUCCUACUCUUUUUCUCUCUCUCCCUCUCUCUCUU
This 270-nucleotide long non-coding RNA is filed under the name Ananas comosus (pineapple). Its description in RNAcentral is "long non-coding RNA (ACOM_LNC015287)". Lineage: Eukaryota; Viridiplantae; Streptophyta; Magnoliopsida; Poales; Bromeliaceae. The record is from RNAcentral.